GACUUUUGACAACCGAUUUUUUGGCUUUCGCAUCGAUUAAAAACCUAGUGAAAAUCGAUUCUUGGUGGGAAUUGCAAAAUCCCCUUAACCCUUCAAUUUUUUAACCCAAGGUGCCCCCCAAACCUUCUUGGCGAAGGGACCUUUUCCUUGGGGUU
Molecule: ribosomal RNA, 155 nt
Filed under: Cornus unalaschkensis
Lineage: Eukaryota; Viridiplantae; Streptophyta; Magnoliopsida; Cornales; Cornaceae
Description: 5.8S ribosomal RNA
Rfam family: 5.8S ribosomal RNA
About the family: 5.8S ribosomal RNA (5.8S rRNA) is a component of the large subunit of the eukaryotic ribosome. It is transcribed by RNA polymerase I as part of the 45S precursor that also contains 18S and 28S rRNA. Functionally, it is thought that 5.8S rRNA may be involved in ribosome translocation.
Source: RNAcentral